This 74-nucleotide transfer RNA is filed under the name Chloroflexota bacterium. Its description in RNAcentral is "tRNA-Pro". It matches the Rfam family "tRNA". From Rfam's summary of the family: Transfer RNA (tRNA) molecules are approximately 80 nucleotides in length. Their secondary structure includes four short double-helical elements and three loops (D, anti-codon, and T loops). The record is from RNAcentral. Lineage: Bacteria; Bacillati; Chloroflexota. RNAcentral also lists the same sequence under 1 other name.
CGGGGCGUGGCGCAGUCUGGUAGCGCGCUUGCAUGGGGUGUAAGAGGUCGUGGGUUCGAAUCCCGCCGCCCCGA